GACGAACCGAGCGAACGUUGUUCGGAAUCACUGGGCUUAAAGGGCGCGUAGGCGGGCUGUCAAGUCUGGGGUGAAAUCCCGCGGCUCAACCGUGGAACUGCCUCAGAUACUGACGGUCUCGAGGGAGGUAGGGGCGAGCGGAACUGAUGGUGGAGCGGUGAAAUGCGUUGAUAUCAUCAGGAACUCCGGUGGCGAAGGCGGCUCGCUGGACCUCUUCUGACGCUGAGGCGCGAAAGCCAGGGGAGCAAACGGG
RNAcentral lists this ribosomal RNA (253 nucleotides) under uncultured bacterium. RNAcentral's name for it is "partial 16S ribosomal RNA". It matches the Rfam family "Bacterial small subunit ribosomal RNA", at positions 524 to 776 of the family's 1533-position model. RNAcentral also lists the same sequence under 1 other name. The record is from RNAcentral.